UACGUAGGGUGCGAGCGUUGUCCGGAAUUAUUGGGCGUAAAGGGCUCGUAGGCGGUUUGUCGCGUCGGGAGUGAAAACCAGGUGCUUAACACCUGGCUUGCUUUCGAUACGGGCAGACUAGAGGUAUUCAGGGGAGAACGGAAUUCCUGGUGUAGCGGUGAAAUGCGCAGAUAUCAGGAGGAACACCGGUGGCGAAGGCGGUUCUCUGGGCAUUACCUGACGCUGAGGAGCGAAAGCGUGGGGAGCGAACAGG
Molecule: ribosomal RNA, 253 nt
Filed under: uncultured bacterium
Lineage: Bacteria
Description: partial 16S ribosomal RNA
Rfam family: Bacterial small subunit ribosomal RNA
Source: RNAcentral